GAAGGAAGUCCUAAGAACUAAGUAGUCUUCUAGAAAGUGGAUUCUCCUAUCUUACAAAAUUAUAUGUUUCGCGUUGAAUCGGUAAUAUUGCUGGUAAUAAUCAACAGAAUGUCAAAAUCUGGGAAUACGAUUUUCUUUGCUAUAUUUAAAAAAUGGCAAGUAUAUUUUGGUAUACUUCCGAGGGUCAGACGGUAUUUCUAAUCGAUAAAGCCGCUGUCACACUGCGCCAUAAAUCACAAACUUUCAGCUUUAUUGUAAACAUCGGAACAAAAAUGAUAGCCAUAAGAAACCUAAAGAAAAGAAUAAACGAGCAUGGCGGAUAGAGCAGAAUUUCAAUUGCACUACGAGUUCAAUGCGGAAGGAAGCAGACAUCAUGCUAAAUAUUAUCUCUCACAUGCGGUUUGUUACAUUAUUUGGAUAAUCAUUUUGCAAAUGUAAUCAAUUUAUUGUGUUUCUAGAACUUUAGUCUUGUUCAGGCAGCCGAUGUACGACACAUCCAUUGCCCACGUUGUUACUGGCGAGAUCUACUCCGUAGCACCAAGUCGGAAAGUACUGAAGAGCUGAAGCGUGACGUGCUUCAUCAUAGGUGCCUUGGAGGAUUUGCCUAGGGAUGUCUUCUGCGAUGUUGUCACGGUCAAAAUAGGUGGUUGGCGAUUUCUGCUCCCAGGUGGUAGAGUUGAAAGUCACGCAAAUGAGUGACCAGUCGGAAACUAUGGAACGCGAAAGUAGAUGAUCGACUGUCGCUGCUGUUCCCCCCGGCAAGAGUUUUCAAAUUUUGGCAGUGACAGCCACAACCAACAAUGACGGCCAUUAUGGUCCCAAUGUGCGGCUUGAAGAGUCAGAGGAGAGUGACAAUAUAUACAGAUAUAUGUAUUCGGCGAGGCAAAGGACGAUUGUGUACCAGAUAGGAAUAUACAGACGAGCAUUGAUUAGGCGCGACACGCAGAGAAUGUGAGUAUAUCAGCGGUACGCAUCUUUAAAUGUAUUUAAUGAUCAAUCUUGUGUGUUUUCUUCCUCCACAGUUGGCCAAUGAAGAGGCUGACAGCAAUGUCUACAAAUAUCCCCUGAACAUCGGCGCCUAUUGGCUGCAAAGUUGUCUGAGCAAGAUUUAAAAGAACAUCAUAGUGUCGCUGUCUGCCGAUGUACUCAAGAUCCACAAAAAUGAUUGCCAGCUCGCAGACAGCGACCCAGAACAAAAUCAAGGAUUCGUAUUAGCGACAUGUGUCGGAAUUUGGUGUGGUGUCAAGCGAUGCAGUGAGACGGUAAGGUGUGUAUUGACUGUUCCAGCAGCUCUUCUUUUUAUAAACUUCUUGUUUUGUGUUUUUCAGAAAAUCGUAUCCGUUUUCGUGUUCAUAGAGCUGAAGGAUGAGGAUCGCACGCUUCUAUUGCCGCUUUCCUACACGCAGAUGGCCGAUGGGGCCCAUUGAACUCAGCUAUGUGGGGAUCCAGCUGAAGCGUGAAUGUCUCCAGUUAAUCCAACUUUUUGUACUGCGAAAGAUCAAGGAAGGCCGGCGUGUCGAUGUUCCCGGCAACCAAGACUAUACCUUGUCCAACAUAAGCGACUCCUACGUGGGCUGCGAUCAGGAGUAGAAGGACUACAAGGAUCAGGAGUCGAAGUGGCCGAUUUCCAAUCUGACAAUCAGACCGAGUCGGAUUAGGGCGUACGUUAAGAUUAGUAUACAUAACAAAUCCUACCCUAAUAAAACAUGUAGCAUACUCUUGGGGCUACCCGAUAAUACCAUCAAUAUUUUAGACCAUCUUUUGGGAACUGGUUUGAUUCAAGGUGGUUAAAAUUGCUUUAAACCGCCAUCUCCUGCAGUCCUUAAGGUCCUUGAUGGAUUCAAAUGAUAGAGGACAUUGCCCAAAUCAGAAGAAGGUGUGGCUUAUCCUGAUCCGACAAG
RNAcentral lists this long non-coding RNA (1901 nucleotides) under Drosophila guanche. Lineage: Eukaryota; Metazoa; Arthropoda; Insecta; Diptera; Drosophilidae. The record is from RNAcentral.